AACGUAGGAGGCGAGCGUUAUCCGGAUUUACUGGGCGUAAAGCGCAUGCAGGCGGUUCUGUAAGUCGGAUGUGAAAGCUCCUGGCUCAACUGGGAGAGGUCGUUCGAAACUGCAAGACUUGAGGAUGGUAGAGGAGAGUGGAAUUCCCGGUGUAGUGGUGAAAUGCGUAGAUAUCGGGAGGAACACCAGAGGCGAAGGCGGCUCUCUAGGCCACUCCUGACGCUCAGAUGCGAAAGCUAGGGGAGAGAACGGGAUUAGAAACCCCCGUAGUCC
Molecule: ribosomal RNA, 273 nt
Filed under: uncultured bacterium
Lineage: Bacteria
Description: partial 16S ribosomal RNA
Rfam family: Bacterial small subunit ribosomal RNA
Source: RNAcentral